AACACAUGCAAGUCGAGGGGUAUAAGUCUUCGGAUUUAGAGACCGGCGCACGGGUGCGUAACGCGUAUGCAAUCUGCCUUUCACAGAGGGAUAGCCCAGAGAAAUUUGGAUUAAUACCUCAUAGUAUUACGACCCGGCAUCGGGAUGUAAUUAAAGUCACAACGGUGAAAGAUGAGCAUGCGUCCCAUUAGCUAGUUGGUAAGGUAACGGCUUACCAAGGCAACGAUGGGUAGGGGUCCUGAGAGGGAGAUCCCCCACACUGGUACUGAGACACGGACCAGACUCCUACGGGAGGCAGCAGUGAGGAAUAUUGGACAAUGGGCGCAAGCCUGAUCCAGCCAUGCCGCGUGCAGGAUGACGGUCCUAUGGAUUGUAAACUGCUUUUGUACGAGAAGAAACACUGAUUCGUGAAUCANCCUGACGGUAUCGUAAGAAUAAGGAUCGGCUAACUCCGUGCCAGCAGCCGCGGUAAUACGGAGGAUCCAAGCGUUAUCCGGAAUCAUUGGGUUUAAA
This 513-nucleotide ribosomal RNA is filed under the name uncultured bacterium. Its description in RNAcentral is "bacterial SSU rRNA". It matches the Rfam family "Bacterial small subunit ribosomal RNA", at positions 50 to 564 of the family's 1533-position model. The record is from RNAcentral.